This is a non-coding RNA of Chiloscyllium plagiosum (whitespotted bambooshark), 1934 nucleotides long. Lineage: Eukaryota; Metazoa; Chordata; Chondrichthyes; Orectolobiformes; Hemiscylliidae. The record is from RefSeq and is a predicted model, not a curated record.
UUCACUCACUUACACAUCUCUGAACACUCUGGGCAAUUUAGCACGGCCAGUUCACCUAACCUGCACAUCUUUGGACUUUGUUCUCAGCAACACAUUUUUGUUGUGCAAACAUUUUCUUCUUACUGCAGGCCUAAUUAACACAAUUUACAAGCAAAUGUGUGCAGAAACAAUUCUGGCAGUUGUAACUGACACACCUGUGUAACUUAACUUACUAAUAUGUGUGUGGAUUUAUUGUAUACUUUAGAAGCAUGGUUGAAAGAGCAUUGUGUCUAAUGGACAUUGAUUGUGAAAUAAUUACCUCCUGGAUACCUUUUUCCAACAACAAGUGCAAAAAAGCAAAUUUGGACAAGGAUCUCAAUUGAAUCAAUGCAGCAAGUUCAAGACAAGGUUCCAUGACAAGGAUUCUGCCACGUUUAUGAGACUGCUAUCAUAAACCAUAAUCAUUGAAGUACUGGCAUAGAAGAAGCUAUUGGGGAGCGACAGAUAUGGGUUGUCUUAAGAACGAUCAGAACUGUUCACACCAUUGCAUCAGAAGGUACUCACAAGCUGCCUCUACUAUACCAAGCUGCCAUGAAUUUUGUAGUGGAGGAGGAUCUCAAGGUACGCACCAGCUGCUGGUUUGUAAAGAAAUACCUGGAUGAUAAUCCACUUCCCAAGUACACGGGACGAAUAGUGAACUGACAGAGCAAAUUGUUGGUCCUCUUAACGUUGGUUUUGAACAAAGGUCUCCGACCUUGCAUUGUAUAAAAGGAAAAGCACAAAAAACCCACCAUUUUAUUGUUUAUCAAUUAUUUUGGUACCACAUUAACUGAAUUAUCAUUUACAGAUCUGAACAUAUAAUAUAUAUUUAUGCACUAAAUAGCUGAUGUAUCGAGUUGCUCUGAUAAUUUGAGAAGCUUCCUACAGAGCCUAAAGACCAGAAUAGAGUUUUAUUGAGAUGCUGCUGUACAUGCUGAGUUUUUUAUUUUAGAUUUCCAACAUCCUCAUUAUUUUACUUGAAAUAUUGUUUGUUCUUGUUUUGACUUACCUGAACUAGGUAUUUACAUUUAUAUAAUGCCUUUAAUGAAUCAAAAUGUUUCAAAAUGUUUAGUGGUUUGAAUGGAGUUAGACCUGAGCUGAACUAGGAGGAUGGUGACUGAUGGCGCUCUGAGUUGGACAGGUUUAAAGAGGCUUUUGAAAGUGUAGAGAGGUGUGAUUAGGCAAGUUAUUUAUGAAGGAAGUUACAGAGUGAGGACAGGUUGAACAAUAGCUUUGCCAUUAAUGAUUGAAGAGAUGGAGGAAGAGGAACAAAUAAUAGACCAGAUUGACUGAAUUGACCAUCAUUUUCGUACUCUGUUUUUCUAGAUUUAAUGGCACAAUAUCUGCUUUAAUUUUGAUGGAUAUUCAGACUUCAGGCUGGGUCCAGUUGGAAUUAGCAAGAAAGAUCUAUUAACCAAUGCUAAACAAUACUAUUGACAUAGAGAUCCACCCAUGGAGAUGUGGAGUUAUCAUGUCUCCAAUCUAUGAAGUAUUCCGUGAGAUAAGUAUAUUUUGCCAGCAAAUGGAAGAAAUGGGGUACAUCCAGAUUAUGAUUUGGAUUGCUGAAAAAAAUCUCAAAUUGAAGAAAAAAAAAUAAAUUCCUUCUUUCCAUCUUGUAAAAAGAUUGAACAGGACAGCAUCUUUAAUUCGAUGAACCUUGUUCAGUUGUGGAAAACAAUUUGAUUCCCAUAUCCAUCUCAACAAUACUGCCAAUUCCACAGGUUCAACAGGGAGAAGGAAAUAUUUAAAGACUCUGGUGUAGAGAUGAACUGAUGUUAUGUAUACUAAGCAAGUUUGAGAGUUUUGCUGUUGGAAAGUUUUGAUAUUUUUUGCUUUCCUGAGGAGGUGUAUAUGUGUAAAUAAAUUUGCUGUUUUUAUUUCAUGCUACUACUCAACCUUUUGUUUUUAAUAAACCA